AGCAGUGCCACGGGAAUACGUAGGUGGCAAGCGUUGUCCGGAAUUAUUGGGCGUAAAGGGCUCGCAGGCGGUUUCUUAAGUCUGAUGUGAAAGCCCCCGGCUCAACCGGGGAGGGUCAUUGGAAACUGGGAAACUUGAGUGCAGAAGAGGAGAGUGGAAUUCCACGUGUAGCGGUGAAAUGCGUAGAGAUGUGGAGGAACACCAGUGGCGAAGGCGACUCUCUGGUCUGUAACUGACGCUGAGGAGCGAAAGCGUGGGGAGCGAACAGGAUUAGAUACCCCCGUAGUCCCUGUCUCUUAUACA
This 303-nucleotide ribosomal RNA is filed under the name uncultured bacterium. Its description in RNAcentral is "partial 16S ribosomal RNA". It matches the Rfam family "Bacterial small subunit ribosomal RNA", at positions 507 to 808 of the family's 1533-position model. The record is from RNAcentral.